Molecule: non-coding RNA, 136 nt
Organism: Chlamydotis undulata (Houbara bustard)
Lineage: Eukaryota; Metazoa; Chordata; Aves; Otidiformes; Otididae
Source: Rfam
AUGCAUCUGUUUGACAGACCUGGAGCAAACAGCCAUUGCUUCUCUGGUUCUUCCUGAGAUGCAACAGUAACAGGUUCCUUGCGCUUUCUACCUGUCUGACCUUGUGGCAGUCUGGAUUGAAUAAAGGAACACAAAC